GACGAAGGGGGCUAGCGUUGUUCGGAAUUACUGGGCGUAAAGGGCGCGUAGGCGGUUUAUCAAGUGAGAUGUGAAAUCCCCGGGCUUAACCUGGGAACUGCAUCUUAAACUGAUAGGCUGGAGUACUGUAGAGGAUAGUGGAAUUUCCGGUGUAGCGGUGAAAUGCGUAGAGAUCGGAAGGAACAUCAGUGGCGAAGGCGACUGUCUGGACAGAUACUGACGCUGAGGCGCGAAAGCGUGGGGAGCAAACAGG
Molecule: ribosomal RNA, 253 nt
Filed under: uncultured bacterium
Lineage: Bacteria
Description: partial 16S ribosomal RNA
Rfam family: Bacterial small subunit ribosomal RNA
Source: RNAcentral